This 66-nucleotide transfer RNA is filed under the name Myotis lucifugus (little brown bat). Its description in RNAcentral is "tRNA-Pro". RNAcentral also lists the same sequence under 6 other names. The record is from RNAcentral. Lineage: Eukaryota; Metazoa; Chordata; Mammalia; Chiroptera; Vespertilionidae.
CAGGAGAUAGUUUAAUUAGAAUAUCAGCUUUGGGUGUUGAUGGUAGGGCAUGAGCCUUUCUCUUGA